RNAcentral lists this ribosomal RNA (253 nucleotides) under uncultured bacterium. RNAcentral describes it as "partial 16S ribosomal RNA". It matches the Rfam family "Bacterial small subunit ribosomal RNA", at positions 524 to 776 of the family's 1533-position model. The record is from RNAcentral.
UACGUAGGGCGCAAGCGUUAUCCGGAAUUAUUGGGCGUAAAGAGCUCGUAGGCGGUUUGUCGCGUCUGCCGUGAAAAGUCCGGGGCUCAACUCCGGAUCUGCGGUGGGUACGGGCAGACUAGAGUGAUGUAGGGGAGACUGGAAUUCCUGGUGUAGCGGUGAAAUGCGCAGAUAUCAGGAGGAACACCGAUGGCGAAGGCAGGUCUCUGGGCAUUAACUGACGCUGAGGAGCGAAAGCAUGGGGGAGAACAGG